UAAAUAGAGCUAAUUUUCUAUUACUCAGUAUUUGACUAUGAUUAUUAUUGAUAUUAAAUAAAAUUGUUGAGAAUUAAUUUUCUUUUCAAAUAUUGAUUCUUGAUUUCUUGAUUCUUCCUCUUUGUUCUACAUCAAAAUGACCCCUGCAAACUUUAUUGCAUUCUAGUUUUACUCCCUAUCUAUUAAUUUACUAUUCAUCAUACCCACUGUACCACAGUUCUGAAAUAAAAAUUCACCCUCAAAUUUAAGGUAAUUUGAAAGGAAAAAAAAAAUUAAUAACCAUAACCCAUCCACCUUUUUUUUUUUUAAUUUAGUUCCAAUUCUCACAUUUCAAUUGACUUUCACCUAUAUCCCUUUUUAACAUUUUAUCUUUGACACCCCCAAGUGCCAAGCUCUAGUUCCACCCUUGCAUCUAAACCACAAAUCAAUACAAAGUUUGUCUCUCCACUAAUAGAAUGGCACAAAUGCCACCAAAAAUAUAGAUUCAAAAUCAUCACAUAAAUGCCAAAGGAAAAAAAGAAACAACUUAAACAAGAUAAUUUCAGAUUAUAUCAUUAAGUGCAAGAAAUCAUUACAUCUUGCAUAAAUUUCUU
Molecule: unclassified non-coding RNA, 593 nt
Filed under: Hevea brasiliensis (rubber tree)
Lineage: Eukaryota; Viridiplantae; Streptophyta; Magnoliopsida; Malpighiales; Euphorbiaceae
Source: RNAcentral